RNAcentral lists this long non-coding RNA (4617 nucleotides) under Homo sapiens (human). RNAcentral describes it as "HSALNT0377935". Lineage: Eukaryota; Metazoa; Chordata; Mammalia; Primates; Hominidae. The record is from RNAcentral.
CUUAAACUCACGUUCUUACCUUGAUAAGCAUCAGUGUGCUCACAUUUACCUUUAUCACUGCUUCAGUGUCACAAACCUCGGAAGGUCUUCUAGGAAGAACCAUCUCAUCUAGGUACAAAAGGAAAAGGAGAAGUUGGAGGUGGAAAAAAAACCCUUGAUCCGUGAUCAUUUCAGAGCACCAACUUCAUCACCUUCAGGCUUCAGUGUACUGGGUAACACUGACCAUGUCGUUCUGCUUGAGACAGAUAUUAGAUUUUUUUUGGAAUUUGGAUCUUUCAUCUGAGUUCUUUUUCAUGGGCGGGUCGGGGUCAGUAUCCUGUUUGUUAUUGUUAAAUUUGUAUGAACCUUAGAAAAGUUAUUAAAGUGCCAAAGAAUGUUUCCCUUUCCUAAGGCUAGAUUAUUAUGUGGGAUGGUUCGAAGAAAUGCAGGAGCGGGAGGAAGAUAGGGAAAAUCUAUAAUGGCUGAAGUGAAAAGCAACCUGGGGUGGUUGUAGCAUGUAAAAGGAGCAUGUUAAUCAACCUCUUAAGGAAGAGACUCUCAGGCUGGGUGCGGUACUCAUGCCUGUAAUCCUAGCACUUUAGGAGGCCGAGGCGGGUGGAUCACCUGAGGUCAGCAGUUUGAGACCAGCCUGGCCAACAUGGCAAAACCCCAUCUCUAGUGAGAAUACAAAAAUUAGCCAGGCAUAGUGGUGCGUGCCUGUAAUCCCAGCUACUAGGGGGGCUGAGGCAGGAGGAUCACUUGAACCUGGGAGGUGGAGGUUGCAGUGAGCUGAGAUCAUGCCACUGCAUUCCAGCCUGGGCAACAGAGCGAGACUCCGUCUCAAAAACAAAAACAAAAACAAAAAAGAAUCUUAUCUGAUUGGGACCAGUUCACUAACUUUGGGGAUAAUUUAUGCUAUUUAAUUAUGCAACCCAAUUCUAGUAGAAAAAUUAUUUUCUACCAGCUUGUUCAGUUUUAAGAUCAUGGUAUGUUUUUGCUCACUGUUUGCUUACAUCCAUGGCUGGCACUGCUGUCAUAAGGGCAGCAUGUCACCUAGUUGUGCCUUCAUAGACCUUAGGCAACCAACUUUUAGCAAGCUGGCCAUGAAGGAAGGCUACUGUUCAAGUUACUUUCCACUCUCAUUUUUAUUCUGGCAGUUCGAAGAAACUUCCCCAAAUCUGACAAGUGAAUAUUCUCAUGGUUGGUGGAAAAGUGCCUGAUGUACCAGAAAGAGCACUGGACUUGGAACCAGAAGACCUGGGUUUGGGGUGGUAGCUGGUAGGCAGCUGGCUGAGUGACCUGAGGCUGAUGCUACGCUCAGGCACACAGAUUUUGUAAGUAUAUUUUGGUACAGUUUGAUUUCUGCACCCUCAUCAUUUAGGUUGCGUCUGGGACUCUUAAGAGUCUGUCACCAUAAUGGAUAGUUUUCUGUUAUUUAAGGUUGAGAACUUUACAAAUUCUUUUUAAAAAAGUUACAAAAGCAUAGACAUACACUAAGUAAAAAUGAUAGUUCUCCCUCCAACCCCACUUUCCAGAGACAAGCACUAUUUUUUGUUUGUUUGUUUUUUUGUUUGAGACAGGGUCCCACUUUGUUGCCCAGGCUGGGGUACAGUGGUGAGAUAUUGGGUUACUGCAGCCUCAACCUCCUGGGCUCAAGCAAUCCUCCCAUCUCAGCCUCCUUAGUAGAUAGGACUACCAGUGUGUGCCACCACACCCAGAUAAUUUUUAUUUAUUUAUUUUUUUGUAGAGAUGGAGGGGUCUUGCUAUGUUGCCCAGACUGGUUUUGAACUCCUGGCCUGGGGUGAUCCUCCCACCAUGGCCUCCCAAAGCACUGAGAGUCCAGGUGUGCGCCACCACGCCCAACCACCAACCACUACCACUAUUAAGGUUAAGCUCAUAAAGCUUUUUUGAGUGCUUAGUCAAACAUACAUGGUAGUAUUGUUUUAUAAAGACUUGUGUUUUUCUGAUAUGUCCUUUUUUGACCUAACUUUUAAGUCAGUUCAAAUAGAGAUAACUUUUUUUUAAGGGAGAAAAUAAAUGAAUAAAAACCCGAGAAACAAACAAACAAAAAAAAAACACAAAGACUGAGUGGAUGGUAGCCAAGAGGGAAGAGAGUACCCUUUCCUGACUCUUUCAUCCUCUAAGGCUUGCUACUAAGUCCCAAAACAUCCAGAUCCUGGAAGAGGCUUAUUAAAGGAAUCAAGGCAUGGAACUCACCCCUAGGAAACCUACCCUGAAAAGUUUCUUGGAGUAAAGUCUGGAGUGUUAGUGGUCCUUGUUCUCCUUUGGGUUUCAAGUAAACACGUUUUGCUUCCUCCCUCACUUUUCCCAUGACCAUCUCCAGCUUGAGUAUUUUGUGUGUCAGCAAGUCCUUUUGGCUUAGUGUUUUAAUCUAAAUUAGAACAAAUAAUGUUUGAAAAACAAAACAAAACACCUGUACUAGGCAGCAAAUUAUCAAAAAACAUUAAUAAAGUGAUUGUAGGAGGCUGAGGAGGGAGGAUCACUUGAGCCCAACAGUUCAAGGCUACAGUGAGCUGUGAUCAUGCCACUGCACUCCAGCCUGGGCAACAAAGUGAGACCCUGUCUCUAGAAAAUAAAGAAGUAACUAAUUGCAUAUGCUUAUCAGUAGUAGGUGGUACAUAAGUGCCUGAGAACAUUGUUCUCUUAUGAUAUUGGUUGGAGAUUUUUUAUACCUGUUCGUGAAAAUUUUACUUCAGCUUUUUGGGCAUGAUGAACCUGCUAAGAAUUGCUUGCUUGAUGUGAAGUUGGUUUCUUGAAUUACCUUUUUAAAGUCCUUUCCCCUCUAUUCCUUCAUCUUAUCUAACAGCUUUGAAAAAUUAGAACAAUCCAGGCCAGGCAUGAUGGCUCAUGCCUGUAAUCCCAGCACUUUGGGAGGCUGAGGCGGGUGGAUCACUUGAGGCCAGGAGUUCAAGACCAGCCUGGCCAACAUAGCAAAACCUUGUCUCCACUAAAAAUACAAAAAAAUUAGUUGGGUGUGGUGGCACAUGCCUAUAAUCCCAGCUAUUUUGGUGGCUGAGGCACGAGAAUCACUUGAACCCAGGAGGUGGAGGUUGCAGUGAGCCAAGAUCACACCACUGCACUCCAGCCUGGGCGACAGAGCGAGACUGUCCCCCCCUCAAAAAAAAAAGCAAAAAUUAUGUUAAUCCUUUCAGCUAGAGAUUUUCUUUGGUGAGAAAACCCAGAUUAGGAAUUCAGAAAAAUUAAGAAGAAAAUCUAGGGGGCCAGCUCUAGUCCCUUAUUCCUUCUCUAUGCCUAUUUGAAAAAAAGGAAAAAUAAACAACUUGGGUUUGGGGUUGAUGGGGAGAAAAUAGGAAGGGAGGGAAAUAGUAUUUCUGAAACAAUGAGGGUUACUUGAUAGGACUAAUAGGAUUUUUGUUUUGUUUUUGUCUUUACUAGUAGGACCUUGUAACCCAAUCUUGCACAGAUGCUUUGCAUCUUCAAAUGAUGUGGCAUCUGUGUCUGGGGUUUUAGAAAGUACUUCUAUGGUGGGAAAAAGGGUAUGUACAUGUUUGAGGAGGACAGGGUCUGAGGAACUCUUGAGAGUCCUGAAUUUUCUCUUGAGAACAGAGCUUGCACUUAUUUACCCUGUUCUUGAUCUCCUGAAGCAUUUCUUGGUUUCCUUCAUUUCCUAAGUUGAGUAUCUUCAUUGUCUGGUACAUUUCUCUGAAAGAUAAGAAGGGCUUCUUAGAUUAUUCUACCCUGCCCUUUAAAAAAGUAUGGGGGUAGAAAAUAUAGGACUUGGAAUCAGGUAAGAAUCCCAAGUUCCAAUCCUAACUGUGCAGUUUUGCUGAGCCUUAUAUGCAAAAAUGGUAUAAUGCUUAGCUUACAGGAAUAAUGUGCAGUUUUUGAGACAAUAUAUUUGUGGGUUUUUUGUUUACUUUUUGUUUUUGCGAGAUGGAGUCUUGCUCUGUUUCCCAGAGCUGGAGUGCAAUGGCACGAUCUCGUCUCGGCUCACUGCAACCUCCACCUCCCAGGUUCAAGCGAUUCUCCUGCCUCAGCCUCCUGAGUUGCUGGGACUACAGGCGCGUGCCAUCAUGCCCAGCUAGUUUUUGUAUUUUUAGUAGAGAUGGGGUUUCACCAUGUUGGCCAGGCUGGUCUAGAACUCCUGACCUCAGGUGAUCCACCCGCCUUGGCCUCCCAAAGUGUUGGGGCUACAGGUGUGAGCCACUGCACCCGGCCAUGCCCGUCUAAUUUUUGUAUUUUUAGUAGAGACAGGUUUCACCAUGUUGGCCAGGCUGGUCUAGAACUCCUGACCUCAGGUGAUCCAUCUGCCUCAGCCUCCCAAAGUGUUGGGAUUACAGAUGUGAGCCACCUCAUCUGGCCAAGACAAUAUAUUUGAAGGUGCCAAUAGGUACCAUUUACUGAACACCUUUAUGACAGGCGCUAAACAUGUCAUCUCAUUAAUUAUCACCACAACCCUAUAAUGUAGACUAUCACCUGCAUUUGAUACAUGAAAAAAAUGGGCUCACAGAGUUUAAAUACCUUACACGGGCUCACAUAGCUAUUGCAUGCCAGAGCUGGAAUUCAAACCCUGGUCUUUUUGACUCUAAAACUUGUUGUCCCAAUAGGCAUUUGAUAAAUGUUAGUUGAAUAUAUGAAUAACUUAAAACCCAUCCU